This 468-nucleotide ribosomal RNA is filed under the name uncultured bacterium. RNAcentral describes it as "partial 16S ribosomal RNA". It matches the Rfam family "Bacterial small subunit ribosomal RNA", at positions 28 to 507 of the family's 1533-position model. The record is from RNAcentral.
GACGAACGCUGGCGGCGUGCUUAACACAUGCAAGUCGAACGGUGAAGCCCUGUCUUUGUGGGGUGCUCGAGUGGCGAACGGAUGAGUAACGUGAGACUAACCUACCCUUGACUUUGGGAUUGCUUCACCAAACUGGGGCGAAUCUCGUACAGGAGCUCCUGCUGCUUUGUGGGGGUUGGACAGGUUCGGCGGUUGGGGAUGGACUCGCGGCUGUUCAGCGUGUUCGGGGGGUAGUGGCUUACCCAGGCUUUGACGGGUAGCCGGGCUGAGAGGGUGACCGGCACGAUUGGGACUGAGAUGCGGGCCAGACGCCUACGGGAGUGAGCAGUGGGGGAAAGUGUACUAUGGGCGGAAGCCUUAUGCAGCAACGCCGCGUGCGGGAUGACGGCCUUCGGCUUGUAAAGCGCUUUCGCCUGUGUCGAAGCGUGAGUGACGGUAAUGGGUUAAGAAGCGCCGGCUAACUACGUG